CAGAGAAAUGUCACCCGGGGUGCCGGCCCGGGGGGAGCGGAGGCGCGUUAGGGAUGUGUGUGUGGGAGAGGGGCAGCCAGACCUCCGCCGGCCCCGCCGACUUGUCAAGCCAACUGACACAGUUGCAAACAGCAAGCUUUUGGGCUCAAAAAGCACAGACCAUCAUGGCUACGAAAACUGCUGCUGCUCAGGAAGUAUGUCAUUCUGGAGCUCCUCAGUGAAAAAGUAGUGCAAGGCAAACAUCAGAGCAGUUACCAAGUGAUCUUCACAGCACCCGUGAACUUCAGCCAUGAACUGUAGAGGACUCAUCAAAUGCUUUAGGAGAGACAUCAUGGAAUUGGAAGAGAAGCGGGGAUCUCCAUGAAGGGCAGUCAACUACAGUCUUGGUGUGUGGAGGAACAGGUCCUGUUCUCGCUGUUGUUACUCCCACAUAGGCGGACUCUGUAAUUGAUUAUGUGUGGGUAGGGUCCUAUUGAAAUUCAGGAGAUUCUGCAAUAGUGCAGGGUUCUUUUUGUGAAAGUUGAGUUGCAAGAUCAGGACCCUACUGUGACUCCUUACUGUGAAUUCUGUCAGUGUAUCAUUGAUUGUGCUGGAACCUGCCUUUUGGGAUAAUUACCAUAUAAUAUAUUCCUCAAAACUUCUUAAUGGCACUGAGGCUUUGUGGAUAGUUGGUCACAUGAUGAGAAAAUUCAGCUGUUAGACACCAGUGUGUGGAUUUCAUCCAGAAGCUGUAAUGAAAUAAAAUAAAUGAGCAAGUUGAAAAAAAAUUAAUUCUGUAAUUUGUUAAUUUAUGUUCUCAGUUACUGCAUGAUUCCCUUGAGUAUAUAUGGUAUUAUAGAACUGUAAAUGUUAAGGGAAAUUAUGUCCUUUUUAAACUGAGCUAUAUACAAAUAUUUAUAUAGUGACUAUAACUUGUCUUCAUUACCAUGCUAAAAACUUGUUUAUUUUUAACUAGAGAGAUGGGGAUCUCCUGCUUUCUUAUAUUCACUUGGUGAUAAUCAUAAAACACCUUACUUGUCUACCUCAGUGUAACUGAACCCUGAGCUGAUGUAUAGCAGAGUAGCAUCCCCUCUAAAAUUGCCCCAUUGCUGAUGGGACAGAAAGAGUGGAAAGGAUGGAGCGGGGAGAGGCCUUAUGGUGCCAAAUCACAACUAGUUCUGGAGUGGUUAUAUCUACUUUUUGGAAGGUAGUAAAUUAAUUUCUGCUGAUAGAGGUAGACCUGCAUAAGAAUUAUGCUAUAAAUUACUCUGUGUGGCAGGGUUCCCCUUCCUGUGCAGUGUCUGUGUCACUGGGCAGCAGUUUUUAAGGGCACCCAGUGAAGAUACAAGUACUGAAAAACUGAUACAGCUGUACUCUUCAUUUUUAAAGGAAAAUGAAAUAAAAUGCAGAUACAACUGCAUUUAUAAGAGACUUCAUUCUGUAUUUUAGAAUUAGUUCUUACUGUUAUGUUAUUUUGCUUUAGUGUUACAUUAUUUCAUGUUACAUGACUGUAGAAUUGUUUAGAUAAUACAGAAUCUUCAUUGCAAAAUCACAUUUGAAAUGAACCAAUAUUUAGAUGUUAAAGAUGUCUUUUGAUUGCAUUGUAACUGACAACUCUGUGUUGUCCUCAUGUCAUUGACAGUACCACGAUGGUUAUAUUCUGAAAUAGUCACUAAUGGAAGACCAUUGUAUGCAUAGGUCUCCAAUGAGGUAUAUGAAUUGCACAGUCCCAGGAUUAAGAUUAUGUCUCUCAGAUUUUCUGUAGCAACAAGAAAGUGCAGACUGUGAACUGUCCCUUUGGUUUAUGUUCCAGCCCUCAGAUCAGUGCCCAGAGGGAAAGCUUCCUUUCCCAUCCUCUUCUUUGGUAAUUUGUGACUUCAUACUGCAGUUCUGUAAGAGCAGUCUUGUUUUUGUGUCUGGGCUGGCAAGCUGGUGAAGGUGGUAUGAAGAGGUUGUCCUGACAGACCUGCUCCACACUUAAGCUUCUUGCACUGAGACUGGGCUAUAUACCAGCUUUAAAACCAGGCCCUCUCCCAUGACUCAUGUAUUUUAUUAUAGUUAAUUUAAAAUAAGUGUUAUAAUGUAAGAAUCCAUGACCAUGACAUAGAAUUUCAGCAUGUUUUCACAACAGUAUUUACUGUAUUUAGUAACAAAUUACUGAAAUAUCAGUAGUGCCAUUUUAAGUAUCAGUAAAAUGUGGUAUUUCCUGAAUCAGGUCUUAGUGUUGGUGUCUCAAACCAGGACAUUUGGGAAGAUAGAAUCCCAGUGAUGUCAAGCUUUGAUUUUAGUACCUAAUUAGUCCUAAUAGAAGAGCAAACCUGUUACAUCUUGUGUGCAGAUGAAAGUAGUUAGUGAAUUUUCUUUGUUCAGAGGAAAAGAAGUUGAAAAUAUACUAUUUCUGUCAUUAUUUUAAUACAGAUCUUGUUAUCCAUAAGUAUUCAGCUUAAGGGUAUCCUGCUAGGUUCAUAGGUAGUUAGUGAACUUCACAAAAUGAAUGAAAUUUCAAAUAUGUGAUUCAGAGUCUAAGAUUCAGCCCUUAGAAUGGGAUGAAUCGCCCUCUGGAGGUGCCCAUUUCAGUCUUCUGACUUCACAGGAAUCCUGCUUUGAACUCGGUAGCUCGAACUAAAAGCUAAGUGGCCUGUUACUUUAAGAGAGCAAUAACUUUAACACCAUACUAGAUUUUUCUGUAUAACUCCUUCUUUCUAAAAAUGGCUGCCUUAUUCCUCACCUUUUCUGCCAAUGUUGUUCUGGUAUUGUUUCCUUAAUGAAUAAAUACAAUUGUUACUGUUGCUAUUUCCUGUGUAUUUUGUUUUUUCUUGUCCUUUUAGAUCUUGUUAUCUUAUCUUCCCCUGUUUUUCAUUUUGUUUGUUUG
Molecule: long non-coding RNA, 2851 nt
Organism: Apus apus (common swift)
Lineage: Eukaryota; Metazoa; Chordata; Aves; Apodiformes; Apodidae
Exons: 7
Source: RefSeq, a predicted model, not a curated record